This 121-nucleotide non-coding RNA is filed under the name Thioclava sp. Its description in RNAcentral is "TPP sequence". It matches the Rfam family "TPP riboswitch aptamer (THI element)". From Rfam's summary of the family: Vitamin B(1) in its active form thiamin pyrophosphate (TPP) is an essential coenzyme that is synthesised by coupling of pyrimidine and thiazole moieties in bacteria. The previously detected thiamin-regulatory element, thi box was extended, resulting in a new, highly conserved RNA secondary structure, the THI element, which is widely distributed in eubacteria and also occurs in some archaea. Lineage: Bacteria; Pseudomonadati; Pseudomonadota; Alphaproteobacteria; Rhodobacterales; Paracoccaceae. The record is from RNAcentral.
AGGAUCACGCAGGGGAGUCCCGCUUAGGGGACUGAGAGGCUGACAGGGUGAAAACCCGGUGACGCGACCCUUUGAACCUGACCCAGUUGAUACUGGCGUAGGAAGCUAGGCGCGCAGACCG